UACGGAGGGUGCAAACGUUGCUCGGAAUCACUGGGCGUAAAGCGCACGUAGGCGGAUUUGUAAGUCAGGGGUGAAAUCCCGGGGCUCAACCUCGGAACUGCCUUUGAUACUGCAAAUCUCGAGUCCGGAAGAGGUGAGUGGAAUUCCUAGUGUAGAGGUGAAAUUCGUAGAUAUUAGGAAGAACACCAGUGGCGAAGGCGGCUCACUGGUCCGGUACUGACGCUGAGGUGCGAAAGCGUGGGGAGCAAACAGG
This 253-nucleotide ribosomal RNA is filed under the name uncultured bacterium. RNAcentral describes it as "partial 16S ribosomal RNA". It matches the Rfam family "Bacterial small subunit ribosomal RNA", at positions 524 to 776 of the family's 1533-position model. The record is from RNAcentral.